RNAcentral lists this ribosomal RNA (261 nucleotides) under uncultured bacterium. RNAcentral's name for it is "partial 16S ribosomal RNA". It matches the Rfam family "Bacterial small subunit ribosomal RNA", at positions 793 to 1055 of the family's 1533-position model. The record is from RNAcentral.
GUCCACGCCCUAACGAUGCGAACUGGACGUUGGGCACAAUUUGGUGCUCAGUGUCGAAGCUAACGCGUUAAGUUCGCCGCCUGGGGAGUACGCUCGCAAGAGUGAACUCAAAGGAAUUGACGGGGCCCGCACAAGCGGUGGAGUAUGUGGUUUAAUUCGAUGCAACGCGCAGAACCUUACCUGGUCUUGACAUGUCGCGAAUCCUGCAGAGAUGCGGGAGUGCCUUCGGGAGCGCGAACACAGGUGCUGCAUGGCUGUCGU